Molecule: ribosomal RNA, 315 nt
Filed under: uncultured eukaryote
Lineage: Eukaryota
Description: partial 18S ribosomal RNA
Rfam family: Eukaryotic small subunit ribosomal RNA
Source: RNAcentral
CCCUUAGACGUUCUGGGCCGCACGCGCGCUACACUGACCAGUGCAACAAGCAUCCGUCCUUGGCCGACAGGCCCGGGCAAUCUUUGAACGCUGGUCGUGAUGGGGAUAGACUUUUGCAAUUUUUGGUCUUCAACGAGGAAUUCCUAGUAAACGCAAGUCAUCAACUUGCAUUGAUUACGUCCCUGCCCUUUGUACACACCGCCCGUCGCACCUACCGAUUGAAUGGUUCGGUGAAGCCUCCGGAUUGGCGCGCACCCCGGUGCCGCCGAGAAGUUGGCUAAACCUUACCAUUUAGAGGAAGGUGAAGUCGUAACA